UGCGCGCCGCCAGGAGAGAGCCGCACCCCCGAGCGCGGCCGCCGAAGGCGCAGAGGCGGGUCUGGAACCCCGAUCUCGAACGCUCAGGCAGAAGGACUGGCAAGCGUCG
RNAcentral lists this non-coding RNA (109 nucleotides) under Sphaerotilus natans. RNAcentral describes it as "Glycine sequence". It matches the Rfam family "Glycine riboswitch aptamer". From Rfam's summary of the family: This family represents the bacterial glycine riboswitch. Glycine riboswitches usually consist of two metabolite-binding aptamers domains with similar structures in tandem. The aptamers cooperatively bind glycine to regulate the expression of downstream genes. The record is from RNAcentral. Lineage: Bacteria; Pseudomonadati; Pseudomonadota; Betaproteobacteria; Burkholderiales; Sphaerotilaceae.